RNAcentral lists this ribosomal RNA (253 nucleotides) under uncultured Acidobacteriota bacterium. RNAcentral's name for it is "uncultured Acidobacteria bacterium partial 16S ribosomal RNA". It matches the Rfam family "Bacterial small subunit ribosomal RNA", at positions 524 to 776 of the family's 1533-position model. The record is from RNAcentral. Lineage: Bacteria; Pseudomonadati; Acidobacteriota.
UACGGAGGGGGCCAGCGUUGUUCGGAAUCAUUGGGCGUAAAGGGCGCGUAGGCGGCUUCAUAAGUCGGCUGUGAAAUCCCUCGGCUCAACCGAGGAACUGCGGCCGAAACUGCGAGGCUUGAGUCCCGGAGAGGGUAGCGGAAUUCCCAGUGUAGCGGUGAAAUGCGUAGAUAUUGGGAGGAACAUCGGUGGCGAAGGCGGCUACCUGGACGGGUACUGACGCUGAAGCGCGAAAGCUAGGGGAGCAAACAGG